GUGCCAGCCGCCGCGGUAAUACGUAGGGGGCGAGCGUUGUCCGGAUUUAUUGGGCGUAAGGAGCUCGUAGGCGGUUCAACAAGUCGGUCGUGAAAGUUCAGAGCUUAACCCUGAAAUGUCGAUCGAUACUGUUGUGACUAGGAUAUGGUAGAGGUGAGUGGAAUUCCGAGUGUAGCGGUGAAAUGCGUAGAUAUUCGGAGGAACACCAAUAGCGAAGGCAGCUCACUGGACCACUAUCGACGCUCAGGAGCGAAAGCUAGGGGAGCAAAUGGGAUUAGAUA
Molecule: ribosomal RNA, 281 nt
Filed under: uncultured bacterium
Lineage: Bacteria
Description: partial 16S ribosomal RNA
Rfam family: Bacterial small subunit ribosomal RNA
Source: RNAcentral